UGCAGGUUGGAUCAAGCUCCAGUCGUUUUCCGUCCUUACGCCAAUCGGCAGCGAAAUUCUUCAUUUUUCGAAGUGAAAAUUUAUUAAAUCAAAAUAAUAAUUUGUAGGUGUCAAUGACAAAAUCGAAGAGAAAAUUCGCGAUCACCGACAAAUUUCUACCAAGGCUCGCAAAGAACCUGUGCACCAGAAAAGGUAGUCGUCGGGCGAACACCGGCAACCGUCUGGAACACGCAGUACUUACCCAUAUCCAGCACGUGCCGUAGAUUCUCUGCCUUCCAAACCCUUCUCAUCAUCGACCAUCUCCUUCUAACCGGCGUCAGCUAACUACGUGUGAAAGAGAUAGAUGCUUGCAGUCAUGGCCCGCGGAGACGAGUGCAAAACUGCCAGCAAGGCCAACUACGCGUGCAAGUCGUUCGACGUGUCUGCUCCUAUGAAGAAGCCUACAUCGAUUCCAGCAUCGUAUCAAGCCCCGAAGAAACAGGAGCAAAAGAAAGACUACGGAGCCUGGGGUCCUAUUUACAAGGACAAGAAAACUUUCACCGAGAUGCACUUCUGCUGAACGAACCACCGAGCCGGUCCAUCAUCAUUGCUUAUCAUCGUCACGUCACAGAUCACCGAAAAUGUCAUCAGUUUUUAUAUAUAAAGUCCCUUAAAGUAACAAAGAUUGUCAUAUUGAUAAAUCAAUUAAACAUAGUCAGAAAAUGUCUUGUAUCUGAUUUAUCGCCUCCGGGACUUCAUGUAUCGAAAUUAUUGUAAGCUACGACCAAAAAUAUUGUAUUAUACUGACAAAUAAAAAUGUCGUCAAAAUUGCCAAUGUGUUUGUGACGGACAGCUUUGUUUCUUAGGUGUAGGGUAUCUUUUGUCGCGCACUAACUUUACCAUGUAUUCACAUUAACCAAUAUUAAAUUUCAUCAUCAUUCGCAUAAAAGGUUUUUUGUUGCGUGUCCUGAGAAAUGUUUUUGUCUUCCAAAUUUUAUUUAAAUAACUGGAUGACCAAGACGGUUCCCUCGUACCAAAUAUUGUUUUGCGAAAAAAGAUCGGCCAUUUUGUUUUCUGUUUGCGACACUUCAUUUUAUGUUCUGUUUUAUUUGACCUAUUUGUAUUCUCGAGCUUGUUUAUUACUAAACAUAAAUAUACCAAA
Long non-coding RNA from Manduca sexta (tobacco hornworm), 1141 nucleotides. RefSeq lists it as uncharacterized. The record is from RefSeq and is a predicted model, not a curated record. NCBI's taxonomy places the organism in Eukaryota, Metazoa, Arthropoda, Insecta, Lepidoptera, Sphingidae. The transcript has 3 exons.